Molecule: ribosomal RNA, 483 nt
Filed under: uncultured bacterium
Lineage: Bacteria
Description: bacterial SSU rRNA
Rfam family: Bacterial small subunit ribosomal RNA
Source: RNAcentral
UGGCGUCAGGACGAACGCUGGCGGCGUGCUUAACACAUGCAAGUCGAGCGAUGAAGCUCCUUCGGGAGUGGAUUAGCGGCGGACGGGUGAGUAACACGUGGGUAACCUGCCUCAUAGAGGGGAAUAGCCUUUCGAAAGGAAGAUUAAUACCGCAUAAGAUUGUAGUACCGCAUGGUACAGCAAUUAAAGGAGUAAUCCGCUAUGAGAUGGACCCGCGUCGCAUUAGCUAGUUGGUGAGGUAACGGCUCACCAAGGCGACGAUGCGUAGCCGACCUGAGAGGGUGAUCGGCCACAUUGGGACUGAGACACGGCCCAGACUCCUACGGGAGGCAGCAGUGGGGAAUAUUGCACAAUGGGGGAAACCCUGAAUGCAGCAACGCCGCGUGAGUGAUGACGGCCUUCGGGUUGUAAAACUCUGUCUUUGGGGACGAUAAUGACGGUACCCAAGGAGGAAGCCACGGCUAACUACGUGCCAGCCGCCGC